This 211-nucleotide non-coding RNA is filed under the name Paenibacillus mucilaginosus. RNAcentral also lists the same sequence under 1 other name. The record is from RNAcentral. Lineage: Bacteria; Bacillati; Bacillota; Bacilli; Caryophanales; Paenibacillaceae.
CAUAUAUGGUAACGAACAGGUGACGACAUCCCUGCCGGCAGGCAGAGGAUUCGGAUGAAAAGGGAAGCCGGUGAAAUUCCGGCACGGUCCCGCCACUGUAAGCGAGGAGCUUCACCGAUACGACAAGCCACUGUUGAGCAUUCGAUGGGAAGGCAGCGGAGUGAAGCGAUGAGACGCAAGUCAGGAGACCUGCCUGUUCGGCUGCGGCUGU